UUAGUGAGUUAUAUGUAUAUUAAGGGUUCUUUUCAUAUUAAAGGGUUCUAGUUUACAACCUCUGAUAAGGAAACACUCUGUUGUAAGUGCAUGGAAUUUGAACCAGUUCUCCCAGAGGGACAACCAAAGAACCCUUAAAGGUUCCAGAUUUGAUCGUUUUUUUCUAAGUGUACUUCAACAUAUGCAGAAUUUAGUCUGUUUAAAUUGGCAGUUGAGAAUGCAACAAUCACAGUAAGAUGUAGACACCUGUAAAGAGUGGUACCCUAAAGACAGGUACCCUUCUGCCUAUUUUUUCCACUUUUAGGUUUAUUUAAAUGUGGGCAGUGUUAAACCAAACCAAAGCAAAUUGCAAACUACACAAAAACAUUUUGCUCUGAUUUCCAAACGGUGUAAUAGCAGUGAAAGUGCCCUGUGCGUUAAAUCAGGACUGUCCAUUACUCUGUCUGGUGGCACUGUUACAUUUCAUAUUUGCAUUAGGAAUAGCCAUGCAAUGAGAGCAUCGGUCUAUACUGUGGCUUCUUUUAGUAGAUGUAUAAUCAGGCUUAAAUGGCCAUGUGCUGAACCCAUCUGUGUUAUGAUGAUGGCUCUGAAAGACUCUUUUCUUUGACUAUUGGUAUUCAGUAGCCACGCUGGACUCUCUCUGUGUGUGUGUGUGUGUGUGUGUGUGUGUGUGUGUGUGUGUUGGGGGGAUGGCAGGGGUAAGUUUGGCAACCCAGGCAGAAUGUGAGUGGAUCUAGCCCAACCAUUAUUCACAACACAUGGAUGAAAUGCAAUGUGAUAGGCCUCCCAGCUCCAUUUCUCCAUCCAUUAAAACAGAGAUGAUAUGGUGAAAUUCUCCAUAUCCUUCUCUCCAUCUUCCUCAUCUUUCUCUCACCCAAAGAGCUCUUUGUGUGUUAGUGCUGUUACUGUCAUUCUCAUUCUUGAGCCAGAGGGCCUGUGGUUUGGAGCUCCUGUGUGUAAAUGAAGGUUUGUGACUAGGGCCAGCCUGUUGAAUGGCAGUCCUCGCUCUGCGCUCAUAAAGUGAACAAACCUGUUUCCCAUUAAGGUUCCCGCUUUCCUGUGCUGCCAGGGUUCCAGUGGCCCACAUACUGCAGCCAACCAGCAGUGGCAGGUCACCAUACACAUAUACACACAUGCAGCCAAUUACUGCUCUCAAUUCCUACUCACUUCCUUUAAAUUGCACAGUUAACUUGAAGCAGUGGAAAAGCAUGAUAUAUAUAUUUUUUUAUUUAAUUAGGAAAACCUGGAAGACGUUACAUUUUUAAGUAAGAUAAUUAAAUCUGUUAAUUGGUUUUGUUCUUACCGCUGCAAAACGUCAGCUGCAAGAAGAACAGCUGCAAGAAAGGUUAUAAAUAAAGGCCUUGCCAUUGAGACAUUAUGCAAAACCCACUUAAUAGGUUCCCAAAUUUGAUGACUGUGGCAAAAAUCAGUUCUGUCUGUUUAUCCAGUAAAGUUGAAACAGUAGAACUAUAUUUUAAUUCAAAGCUGGAUGCUCACAGCUAUAGCCAACUACAUGCAUGGUAGGACACUGCUUAAGUAACUUCGUUACUAUACUUGAAUAUUAUUUUGGGAUAUUUAUACUUCACAUGAAUAUUAGUGAAAGUACUCAUUACAAAUAUUGAAGGUCUCUUCUCUCUUCCAGCCAAUGACUGUAUGCUAUACAUCAAUUAAUUGGGCUCAGUUUAGCUUUCAGUCAUCAAUCAAGUUAGUCAGAGUAAAAAAACAAUCAGGAAUCGUCACCGGCUGUAUUCUUCUCAUACUGGUUAGUGCUCUAGCUAUCCUUGUGCAUCUGUUGAUGACAAAGCCACCAGACUGCAGAGUGGAACUGAGGAUGAGCACCCCUGGCCGUACAUCAGUCAGUACGUUUACAUAGACAACAAUAUUCCUAUAUUAACCAGAUUAAGAUGAUAUUCUGAUUAAGAAACUACCAUGUAAACAGCAAUUAGUGAUGACCUUAAUCCGAAAAAAUAAAUAUUCGAAGUAAACACAAAUCGAAUUAAGACGUGGAGUAUUCCUGUUUUAGUUGUAUUAUCGACGUGCGUUAUAGACAUGUACACACCUUAAUCACACUAUUAACGUCGUGUGGGAGUUUACACCGCAUUUUGCGAUAGGACACGUACACAUACGGAAGUUUUCAACCGUUUGAUGGUAAACAAGAGAGCAUGGCUGCGUCUGAAACCACAUACUCACCUACUAUAUAGUAGGUGAAAUACGUUUUGGUAAGUUUUGGACGCAGCCCAUGGCUUCAAGCAGUCGUCUAUUAGCACGUAUAGCAUGAUAAAUAAUUAACUGCACUUGAAUCCUUCGUAAAAUGAAACACCCAAAACUGUAUACGGUACCAUAACGAAGACCAACUGUAUGUUGAUAUGUUAAAUUCUGGAGGGGACGUCGGACGGCGUGGCGUGGGGACGUGUGACAUUAAUUGAUCUAUGUUCUAUAACAUGUAAAACGGGAACAUGAAUGGAGUAUUCUAAAAGCAACUCAUGUAAACACCUUAAUCACAAUAUUGUCUUAUUCAGAAUAAGGUCAAUAAUUAGAUUACUGCUGUCCAUCUAAACGUAGUCAGUAAAAUAUCUCAAUAUGCUAGAGUAAGCAAAGACUUGUAUAAACCGAGGCAUUUCCUUUGCCUCCAAAGAACACAUGAAUUCCAUCUAAUUUGAAGAAGAAUGUUGAGAUUCACUAAUUCGUUAACAUUAACAGCUGUAUUCAAGUAAGUUAGCCUGUUUGCUGGCUAAUGGCAGGUUAGACUAACAUCUUAGUCUAACAAAUUAGACUAACAAAUUAGGCUAGGCAGGAAGUCAGAUUCUAGCUGUUUAUAAAUAUUGCAAAUUUAAAAAAAAAUCUGUCUAGCCUUUUCUCUUCUAAAUGUACUCUAUAAUCUGUUAUUUUUCCAUUUCAUUAUUUAUGGAUGAGCUUUUCCAGGCUAUCACUUGUACAAACAUCACUGGCUUUGUAGAUGGCUGUAUGUCAGUGCAAGCAUUUUAUUGGCUGCUGACAGGUGGCAUGUUCAUCUGUCCAUUCUCAUAUCCCUGGUAAGAUUUGUUUGUCCACAAGAUCACAAGAAGUCCACAGGGAGAUAUAUUAGUGUUAGGAGAUAGAGGACUUACUAGCUUGCCCUCGCAGUUGACAUGUAUUUAAUUUGCCUGUGUUCACUGCUGCACUCCUGUCAAGCUGAAGUUUUAUUUAGUCAUUAGAUCAGCCUUUGGAAACAUCCUGUGAUUAGUUUAAGUGUUUGGAUAUGCCAGCUGUCAGUGUUCAAAGGUGCUGUAGUCUGCGUUUUGGUUGAUUGCAAGUUCAGACUUUCUGAACUAAUCCAUACCAACUUCUUAGCCACUAGCUUUCAUACACUGUUAGCCACAUUUACCAUUGUUGGUUGGUAAUAUUGCUUAAAACGAGCUUUCAGCUGUGUAGAGAAAGACUGAAAGGACUAAACGAGAUGUGUUUAAAAAGAGACGAGGCCCAGCGGGUUUGAAAGAACAACAGUCCUCAUUCAUCUGUUCAUCUUGGCAGUAUUAUGAUAACUCAGCACACCUGGCUGUAGGUUCUGUGUGAGGAUCAAAAAUCUACAAUAAAACCAAAUACAACCAAAUUUAAAACAGCACCAAACUGUCGUUUCGCCUUCCAAAGAAAGGAAAGAAUGAACUUAUUCAAAAAAGCAGGAGAAAGAAAGACUGAAAGAAAAGAGAGAGAAUUAAGUAAUAAAAAGUAAAUAAUAGAAAAGAACAGUAUGAAAGUAAAGCAUGUAGGAGAAAGAAGUAACGAAUAAGAUAAUGUAAGUAUGAAAGUAAGAUGAAACAAUGAAGAAAAUAAUAAUAAAUUAUAAACAAUCAGGGAAGGGUAAAAAAGGAUUAAAGAUGGAAUGAGAGAAGGUAAUAAGAAAGGCAGCAGCAUGGAGGAGUGUUCACUAAAGCAGCGGCUUUUAUCUGUCACUUCAUUGAGAGCUCUGGAUUCAAACUGGAUUUGAGGAUUUUCCCAGUGAAGUUUGCUUUAAGGGGAAAACUGCAUGGUCAGCUCAUUUUUGUUGGUUGAUGUGGCUCGAGGUUUGAGCUGAGUCUUUUCAAUACUUCUUUCUCAGCUACUGUGUAGGUACUGUAGCUCAACGUGCAGCAGUUUGAUGUUUAUGUUUUAUUUGUCAGGUUUUUGUUUUAUUUAAUACAUUUUAAAUUGAAUUACAGGUGUGUAUAUUUUCUGGGAUUUUAACCUAGGGUUCACUCAAACUGUUAAUGUGAUCGGAGAGAGUUUAAAAUAAUUAAGACUUUUCCAGUUAGGGUUUAGCCAUUGAAAAAAAAUACACAAGAUAUUUUUGGGGAAAGUAUUUUAUGUAUUGGGUGAUUUAUAUGCUUACAUCUUGCAUAGGGGCAGUGCUGGCAUGGUGGUUAAGGCUCUGCGUUACUGAUCAGAAGGUUGGGGGGUCAAGCCCCAGCACUGCCAAGCUGCCACUGUUGGGCCCUUGAGCAAGGCCCUUAACCCUCUCUGCUCCAGGGGCGCUGUAUCAUGGCGGACCCUGUGCUCUGACCCCAGCUUCCUGACAUGCUGGGGUAUGCGAAGUAAAGAAUUUCAUUGUGCAUGUGUAUAUGUGAUCAAUAAAGACUCAUUAUCAUUAUACUGUAGUACAUACAUAAAUGUACGCAUGAUUAUAACGAACCUUUUUCAUAGCAUCACUCAGCACUAAAUGUUUAUCACGUAUUCACUCAUCUAUCAUAGUAAGGUGGACUGACUUUUACAGUAAGAUCAACACGUUCCUGUGUGGCUCAUACAGCAGACAGUCUGGAAGAUCAACAUUCCUACACAAGCAUGUGCAUACACACACACACACACACACACACACACACACACACACACACACACACACACACACACACACACACACACACACAGCCUUUGUCAUCACUACCAUUCAGGUCUUGUGGACUUUUCCAUAGACAUGCUCCUAGAGUUGAAAGAAAAGAGAAACAAUACACACACAGCAUUGUGUCCAGGUGCACUCACAUACGGGGACUAGAAUGCGGGUUUGAGUACAGAUUCACAAAAACACACUGAUUUUACAUCCUUACUAUGUCUCAGCUGUCAGGGUGUAUUGCUUUUGAAGUAUGCUCCACUAUAUUUGUUUUUGUGCCUUUGAGAAUUCAGAGUUAAAUUUGAAUUUGUAAUUCAUGUGUUUUUUAGUUACAACUGACCUGGACAAACAAUAUGAUUUACAGUUUCUAUUGAUUAAACUGUUCUGUCUUUCAAAAGACACUUUUUGAUACUGUACACUGUGUUUUUGCAUGUAUGUCAUGUGGUGUCUCAAGAAGGUUACAUUAAGCCUAAGCCUCAUAUUUAUCAAAUCUAGUGUUGCUGGCUCACAUCUCCAGGGUCUUUCACUGACCCUCGUAUGAAUGAGUAUGUGUAUAGGGUGCCCUGUGAUUGUGUAUUCCGGCCUUGAGUCCAGUGUUCCUGAGAUGGACUCCAGAUCCACCAUGACUCUGAGAGUAGUUAGUGAAGAUGAGAGAAAGAAAGAAAGAAAGAAAGAAAGAAAGAAAGAAAGAAAGAAAGAAAGAAAGAAUUUUUGACCACUCUCCCAUGCAGUAUGCAUGAUAUUUGAAUGUUUUCUUGCAUGUAUUGUCCAUUUCAAAUCUUAGGACCAUUCAUUUGCUUAGGAUCAUUAUUCUGUUGAAAAGUCCACUUUUGGUUCAAUUUCAACUUUUGGACAGAUGGCCUCUCAUUAUCUUCAAGCACCCUUUGAUAUGAUGCAGAAUUCAUAGUUGAAUCAGUGAAUGCAAGCUCCCUGAGGCAGCGAAGCAACCCCAAACCAUAACAUUUUCACCACCGUGCUAUGAGGUGCUUCUCCUGAGAAGCUGUCUUUGGUCUGUACCAAACAUGUCUUUGGUCUGCUGUUUCUGUGGCCAAACAACUCUAGCUUUGAUGCGUCUGUCCAUAGCACAUUAUUCCAAAAGGCCUGGUCUUUGCCUAUAUGCUCAUUGGUCUAAAGUAAAAUAUGCUCUAAAGUUUUUUUAAAAAAAAAAUGAUUUAUUUAUUUAUUUCUGGAACACCUCCUAUGCAGGUCAUAUUUGUGCAAUCUCUUUCUGAUUGUAGAAGCAUACACACCAACAGUUGCAGGACUUACUAGCAGAUCCUUUGAUGAAAUUUUGAGGUUCUUGGAGACUUCUUUUUGCAUCACAUGGUCUGCUGUUUGUCUGAUUGUGCUGGGAUGGCCAGUCCUGGACAAACAGGCAGUCAAUGGACACUAUAUAUGAGAGGGGUAUAAAUCAGACAGCUAUGGCCUGCAUGAUCUGUAGCAGCGAGAGUGUAAGAAAAAAACAACACUGGACAAAGCACAAAGCUCCUCACAUGAGAUAUUUGGAGAAGGGCAGAAAGCAAGAGGCCCUCCUUCAGGAAAAAAAAACAUUUAGGAAGUGGGUUUCAGUUUUUAUAGGUUAACAGGGAUAAAGAGUGUGUGGUGGGGCUCCCAUUGCCUUUACCAUGUAUAUUGAAUGGUGAAUAUGCAGUUGUUGAGGCUGGUUACUUUUAUGCUGGAUGGGACACUAUUCUUACAGGAGUUCUGACCACUGGAUUGUACACUCAUCCUAGCUAGUCAAUGACACACACACACACACACACACACACACACACACACACACACACACACACACACACACACACACACACACACACACACACACACACACA
Molecule: long non-coding RNA, 6669 nt
Organism: Ictalurus punctatus (channel catfish)
Lineage: Eukaryota; Metazoa; Chordata; Actinopteri; Siluriformes; Ictaluridae
Exons: 2
Source: RefSeq, a predicted model, not a curated record